Molecule: long non-coding RNA, 1797 nt
Filed under: Scleropages formosus (Asian bonytongue)
Lineage: Eukaryota; Metazoa; Chordata; Actinopteri; Osteoglossiformes; Osteoglossidae
Description: lncRNA (ENSSFOG00015028609.1)
Source: RNAcentral
GCGAGCUCACAUCGCAGCCUCGGCACCGUGCUGCUGCUGCUGCGGCGUGCGUGUGUGAUUUUGGGACGGUUUGGGGCUCACGUGAGAGCAGCGCAUGCUGUUUGACAAGGCACACUGGGUGACAUUCCUGCACAUGGGCUGAGCGAAGGGCGGGGCCAAUGCUGAACAAAUAAUGAGCCCGGCAUUCCACAAAUAACUGAGGGCCCUUGGUGCGACGCUGGAAAGGUGACAUGGCACCGGCGGAGACGUGACGAGGGGAGGGAACAGGUCGCACGGGCCGGAGCGGCCGCGCUUCCUCGGAGCCGUCCGGGCCGUGAGCGCUGGGAGUUUCUGGGUGCGAGUGAACACGCUGCCCGCUCCAUGCCUUGGGGGGGUGCACCGGGAACCCCAGGCUUGGACCGCGGCGGGAACCAGGGGUGGUCAAACGGGGGAGCGGAGCAGGCAGGGUGCGGCGGCCGGGGGACCAGGCGCCCGUACGUCGCAGAGAGGACCGCACAAGAUAACAACAGCCCUGAGCUGAGGCUCUAUCAGCAAUGGGGUCCUGUGCUCCUGUUGAGUGCGCUGUGGGCCCUCUGCCAGGAGGACGUCCCCCUCUACCUCCCCGUCAACAUGGACCGCGUACUGCAGAGGGUUCUGCUGGCGGGAGGCUCGUGCGCUGCGCUCGGGAUCUGCGUCCUCUGCGUCCCAGUCCUGCUCCGCUUUUCCAGGCAGCCGGUUUCAGCGGAUAACCUAACGGGACCCGGACCGGAACAGGAGUCGGCCCCCCUGCUUACUGAGGAGGUUGUACGGGGGGUGGCGGCCCCCCAGGAAGCAUGUGCACCGGUGGAAAUGAGUUCAGGUCUCCCUGUGUCCACCGGACAUGCCCUGGUGGACAGCCUGCUGGUUUUCCUGCACUCGGAGUCCUUGGAGGAGCUCAGCGCAGGACGCAUCCUGGAGCUUGCGGCUAAGCUGGAGAGAGCGGACGAAGCCCUCCGGAGAGGGACAGCUGUCGAUACGCUGCCCCGGUGGGGAAGUAAGGAUGGCCAGACUCUGGCUAGAAGACUCAGGGGUGUCGGCACCUAUCUGCAGCAGAGGGCGAGGCUUCUACGCACCCUGGGGCAGACCCGCGGGCAGUGCGAGGACAGCGAGCGGGACGUCGUGCUCGGGCUGGAGCUCUGUUGGGAAGAGCUGGAGAAGAUGCACCGCCGCAUCGCUGUUCCUGGUGGGACAGCGGGAGACCUGGAUGUCAGGGAGGUGCUGAAGGAAGUGCAGGGUCUGUCCGCGGAGCUGAGGCAGCGCAGAGAGCGGCUGCAGCUCUGUCAAUCCCACCUGGCGGACACUACACGCGUCCUGCAGGAACUGAGUCGCAACCGGAGGGAACUGGAACGGCAAGCUGGAAGCCCGACAGAUCCCCUCUGGACGGAGCGCCUCCUGCAGGCCAGCGCUGCGCAGAAUGAAGAGAUCCGCUCUAAGUUCCUGUCUCUGGAAAGCAUCGCAGACUGUCUGCGGACACACCUGGAGGGCCUCCGGGUUCAAGGCCGGGACUCUGCAUCCUCAACCUGCCCCCCAACUCCGGUUGAAACCCCCCCGGCAGAGCUGUCUCCGCCUCCCAGUCCCUCUCCGACGUCCCGAUCCUUGAUUCCGGCGCUGGACUGCCUGUGCGGCUCUGUGAGACGGAGAUGAAAUUUGCUUCCCGCAGUUCUUGACCUUCGCCGCAGUUUGAAGAUGCUCUGCCUCCUGGAGAGGAAAUGUGCCGCUGACUUUGUAUUUAACUAUUCGUACAGGUAAACGAGCGUAAUAAAUAUUUUGGUUUUUACA